RNAcentral lists this non-coding RNA (28 nucleotides) under Rattus norvegicus (Norway rat). The record is from RNAcentral. Lineage: Eukaryota; Metazoa; Chordata; Mammalia; Rodentia; Muridae.
CAAAACAAAACCCAACGAAGUGAAAUGC